RNA transcript from Pongo pygmaeus (Bornean orangutan), 1438 nucleotides. It is a transcript of the gene named protein FAM246A-like, with no coding region annotated. The record is from RefSeq and is a predicted model, not a curated record. NCBI's taxonomy places the organism in Eukaryota, Metazoa, Chordata, Mammalia, Primates, Hominidae. The transcript is spliced from 2 exons.
AUGGCGGAGCCCGGCCGCCCGUGGGCCCAGGCGCGUAGUGCGUACAGAGCCACCGAGGUGCUGCGGCGCGGCCCGGGCCGCCGGCGGGACCCGGGGCCGCAAUCCAAUGGGCCGGGCCAGGAAGACGCCCGAGCCCCGGGCCGGCGGGCUCGCCUGCGCGGCCAGCUCUGGGCCGAAGCGGCUUUGCGGUCCGUGGUGGAGCGUGCGGGGGCCGGGGCGGCGGGCGCGGGCGCGGGCGAGAGGACCGGCGCGCACAGCCGCGGCUCCGUGUGCUCGGUAUGCGGGGAGCCCCGCGGCGGGGCCACCUACCCGGCGAGGGUCCUGGAGGUGAGCGAGCGGCGGCUGCAGGAGGGCCUGGCCGCAGUGCGCGAGGAGCUGGGCGCCGGGAUUGAGGCGCUGCGCGCGGAGCUUCGAGCGGAGCUGGACGCCCUGCGCGCGCUGCUGCUGCCGCCGCCGCCGUCCCCGCCUGCCCGCCGCGAGCCCCGCGCCGUCCCCCGCGCCGCGCCCCGCGGCCCGACCCUGCUGCGGACGCUCGGCACCGUGAGCGCCCUGGUCGCCGCCUCCAGGCCCUCAGACGACGCCCCGGACGGCCCAGCAGAAGGCGGAGCGCACCGAGCCCCGGCCAGGAAGAACCACAAGAAGAUGCCAGUGCCGCCUGGGGCCCCGCAAGGUGGCGGGGACUGAGGGCGGCCGCACAAGGGCAGCCUAGGCGAGGUGCGGAAGGCGUCGCGCUGGCUACUCUGGUACCCCCAGGACGGGGCAAGUGAGCAGAUCGGUCCCCCUCGUGGAGCGUGGCUCUGAGUCAGAAGGGUGCCCGGGUGCCGCCAGUUAGGGCUCAGGUCUCAGUGAGGAGGCAGGGUCUCCACGCACUGGAAUAGUGUCAAACCACACACAAGGGCACAGAACCCAGGGACACAGGGCGGCUGAGACACGCAGCUGGUGAUGUCCCUCAGGACGGUGUCAACCAGUAUGUAAUCACAUUCCACACGGCACCCACCUGGACAGCGGCCUCCGGUCAGCCUCACUCUGACUGCAACCCCCCUCUCACUGGACAGCAUCACCUGGGCACAGAGCCUCACCUAGUCUGUGUCCCGUGGACCCAGCUUUGCUUUGGACAGUGACACCAAGAAUACUCACCCCUUUACUUGGCCAGACCACAGGCAGCCACCUGGACACAAACAUCUCUCCAGAGUCACCCUCCACGCAGACUCCACAGCAGAACUCCCAGGGAGGCACUGGGGCAUGGCUUCGGAACACCAGGCAGCCCUCCACGGUGCCCAGCACCGGCUCAGCCAGGGCAGCCUGCAGCGGAGCCUGGAGCCAGCAGCUUCUCAUCUCUUGGCCUGGGGAAAUGUAGCUGGAGUCAUCAUUUAGCAGAGCACAGUGUCCCUGGGUUGGUCACCCAGCUUAGUUUUAAAAUAAAAUAAUGUAAUCUUGG